This is a long non-coding RNA of Perognathus longimembris pacificus (Pacific pocket mouse), 449 nucleotides long. RefSeq lists it as uncharacterized. The record is from RefSeq and is a predicted model, not a curated record. NCBI's taxonomy places the organism in Eukaryota, Metazoa, Chordata, Mammalia, Rodentia, Heteromyidae. The transcript is spliced from 2 exons.
GUCUGCAUUCUGAAGGACUUGGUGAUACAGAAAAAUACACAUAGGUCACAUGUUUUUUUUUAACUAAAAUUAUUCUGUAGAUAUAAAAAAUACAGGCAGGUAGACCACAUACAUAUGUAAACAUUAAGAAGUUAAGUACAGAUAAUGUAUUUUUUUGUUAAAAAUGUCAAAAGUAGUCUAUUACAGUUUAAGCUUUAAUUAUCAAGAUGAGACUCAUCUGUUCAAGAGUGCAAAAUACUGAGCUGUUAGAUCAUUACUAGACAGUUGAAGGGAGCUGUUUUUAAGGCAAUUUAUAUAAAUACCUAACUGCUUAUUUAAGAAACUGUUCACAUAUCUGGCUGGAGACACUGCAGUAGUGCAAUGCAGGAGCCUAGAAGCCAAGUCUAGCAGAUCAUGACUCCAAGUCCACUUGAAAGAAUGAUACAAGUCAAUUCAAAAAACAAAACAAA